UACGAAGGGUGCAAGCGUUAAUCGGAAUUACUGGGCGUAAAGCGUGCGUAGGUGGUUGUUUAAGUCUGUCGUGAAAGCCCUGGGCUCAACCUGGGAAUGGCGAUGGAUACUGGGCGACUAGAGUGUGGUAGAGGAUGGCGGAAUUCCCGGUGUAGCGGUGAAAUGCGUAGAGAUCGGGAGGAACAUCUGUGGCGAAGGCGGCCAUCUGGACCAACACUGACACUGAGGCACGAAAGCGUGGGGAGCAAACAGG
RNAcentral lists this ribosomal RNA (253 nucleotides) under uncultured Lysobacterales bacterium. RNAcentral describes it as "uncultured Xanthomonadales bacterium partial 16S ribosomal RNA". It matches the Rfam family "Bacterial small subunit ribosomal RNA", at positions 524 to 776 of the family's 1533-position model. Lineage: Bacteria; Pseudomonadati; Pseudomonadota; Gammaproteobacteria; Lysobacterales. The record is from RNAcentral.